GAUAUUUACCUAUAUUUUCUACUAGUUUCCAAGGUUUUUUUUCCCUUGAGAUUCUCCUGACUCAACCUCCUGAGUAGCUGGAAUUACCACCAUUGCCUGGCUAUUUUUCCUUUUUUCUUUGACAGUUAAGUCCUUAAUCCAUUUGGGGUUAAAUUUUUGUAUGUGAUAUGUGGUAGGGACCAAUUUCAUCUUUUCCAUAUGGAUAUAUUUUUUUUCAGUUCCAGUAAGAAAUAAUCUCCUCCUCUGAAAAUAAUGAAACUGAUUAAUUCAAUGUGUUUGAUCAUUUUGAGAAAAGAUUUGCUGCAAUCUUAAAACUCCCCAGCAUUUGGGCCCAAAGGAUUAGGAACUGUAGAGCAUUAACUGAGCAUCAUGUGUAGACAGUGAGCUUGCCUGCAUACCCUAGCUGACAGGCGACUUCCAGGCAGAAAACUUUAGAUGCUGUGCUGAAGGCAUUGGGGAACAGAAAUUUCAAGUAAGGACAGUACAAGAACCUCAGAGAACAGAAAUACAGCCCAAGAGUUUAGAAAAUUUAAUGCUUGUUAUGGUUUAGAUAUGAAGUGCCCCCCAAAACCUCAUGCAAGAGUUUUCAGAGGUGAUACAAUUAGAUCAUGACAGGUGUAACCUAAUUGGUGGAUUAAUCCACUGAUAUGGAUUAGCUGGGUGGUAACUGUAGGCAGAUAGGGUGUGGCUGG
Molecule: long non-coding RNA, 692 nt
Filed under: Marmota monax (woodchuck)
Lineage: Eukaryota; Metazoa; Chordata; Mammalia; Rodentia; Sciuridae
Source: RNAcentral